Non-coding RNA from Streptomyces cellostaticus, 77 nucleotides. The record is from Rfam. Lineage: Bacteria; Bacillati; Actinomycetota; Actinomycetes; Kitasatosporales; Streptomycetaceae.
AGAGGAAGCCGGUGCGAAUCCGGCGCGGUCCCGCCACUGUGAUCUCGGCCUCCCCAGGCCGGGUGAGCCAGGAACUC